This 329-nucleotide ribosomal RNA is filed under the name uncultured eukaryote. Its description in RNAcentral is "partial 18S ribosomal RNA". It matches the Rfam family "Eukaryotic small subunit ribosomal RNA", at positions 1470 to 1796 of the family's 1831-position model. The record is from RNAcentral.
CCCUUAGAUGUUCGGGGCCGCACGCGCGCUACACUGAAGGAAUCAGCACGUGUUUCUCCUUGUCCGAAAGGACCGGGUAACCCGCUGAACCUCCUUCGUGCUAGGGAUUGGGGCUUGUAAUUGUUCCCCAUGAACGAGGAAUUCCCAGUAAGCGCGAGUCAUAAGCUCGCGUUGAUUACGUCCCUGCCCUUUGUACACACCGCCCGUCGCUACUACCGAUUGGAUGGUUUAGUGAGAUCCUCGGAUUGGUCCCGGCGCGGCUUCUGUCGUGCCGGAGUGCCGAAAAGAAUGUCGAACUUGAUCAUCUAGAGGAAGUAAAAGUCGUAACA